RNAcentral lists this ribosomal RNA (549 nucleotides) under uncultured archaeon. Its description in RNAcentral is "bacterial SSU rRNA". It matches the Rfam family "Archaeal small subunit ribosomal RNA", at positions 1 to 546 of the family's 1478-position model. The record is from RNAcentral.
GCCCUUUUCCGGUUGAUCCUGCCGGAGGCCAUUGCUAUUGGGAUCCGAUUUAGCCAUGCUAGUUGUACGAGUUCAGACUCGUAGCGAAUAGCUCAGUAACACGUGGCCAAACUACCCUUCGGAGCACCAUACCCUCGGGAAACUGAGGCUAAUAGUGCAUCCCACACUCACCCUGGAAUGGCGAGUGUGUCAAACGCUCCGGCGCCGAAGGAUGUGGCUGCGGCCGAUUAGGUAGACGGUGGGGUAACGGCCCACCGUGCCCAUAAUCGGUACGGGUGGUGAGAGCCAGAACCUGGAGACGGAAUCUGAGACAAGAUUCCGGGCCCUACGGGGCGCAGCAGGCGCGAAACCUUUACACUGCACGACAGUGCGAUAAGGGGAUCCCAAGUGCGUAGGCAUAGAGCCUACGCUUUUGUACACCGUAGGAAGGUGUACGAAUAAGGGCUGGGCAAGACCGGUGCCAGCCGCCGCGGUAAUACCGGCAGCCCAAGUGAUGGCCGAUUUUAUUGGGCCUAAAGCGUCCGUAGCUGGCCGCACAAGUCCAUCGGG